Molecule: non-coding RNA, 883 nt
Organism: Zonotrichia albicollis (white-throated sparrow)
Lineage: Eukaryota; Metazoa; Chordata; Aves; Passeriformes; Passerellidae
Source: RefSeq, a predicted model, not a curated record
CCAUUUUCAGUUGGAUUUCCUGCAGCAGCCAGGGAGGUUUGGGAGCCCUUUGUUCUCCUCCCAGCGCCUCGAGGCCAAUGGCAGCUGGCCGGACGCCGCCACCCCCUCGUCCAUCACCGACCUGGGCAGCGACGCCUCCAAUUAAAGAAUUUGCAAUUCCAAGGACCUUUUUGAGAGGAGAGAGGUCAAUUAACGCUAAUUAAUCACGGGCCGAUAGAAUGAUUGACUUCUAAUGAAUGAAUUACCUCAGACCAAGCCAAUAGAUUGUGAUGGCAGCGACGCCUCUACCUCUCAGUUAUUUAUAACUUCAUUUCGCCUCAGUAAAUUCCUUUUUUUUAAGGAAAAACUUUGGAUUUUACACAAAGAACCUGAAGAAGAAGGGAAAAAGAAAGUCUUGGCUUUUUUUCUCCAGUUUUACAGCGGAAAAAAUGGAUUUAUUUUCGUUUUUGUCUGGUUUUUUACACUGGGAUUUCUGCUCUAGGUGAGUUAAACCCCUCCUGUUGUAAUUGGAUGUUCUCUGUAUUGGAAUUUUCUACAGGGAAUUUCUGUAGGAAAUUCUAUAGAGAAUUCUGCAGGAAGUUUUUAUUGAUUAAUUGAGCGAAUUAAUGGAAAAGUUGCUUUACCAAACGUCUCGCCGAACGUCCAUUGGUGUCAUUCCAAGGGAUUUCAUAUUGGGAAAUUCCACGGCUUCACUUUUCCUGCUGAAAAAGUCCAAAAAAUAAAAUGAAAAACCCCAAAUUUACCACAAAACAGCCAAUCCACGGGAUUUCCCCAUGGGAAUUCAAGGGGGUUUGUGCCACUCUGGUGCUGUUCUCAGAGUCCAACCCUUUCAGUUGAGAUUUUAUCAAAGAAAAUAAAAUUUCAAAGCCUUUUUUUCCCUUUU